UACGUAGGGGGCUAGCGUUGUCCGGAAUCAUUGGGCGUAAAGCGCGUGUAGGCGGCCCGGUAAGUCCGCUGUGAAAGUCGGGGGCUCAACCCUCGGAAGCCGGUGGAUACUGUUGGGCUCGAGUACGGAAGAGGCGAGUGGAAUUCCUGGUGUAGCGGUGAAAUGCGCAGAUAUCAGGAGGAACACCGAUUGCGAAGGCAGCUCGCUGGGACGUAACUGACGCUGAGACGCGAAAGCGUGGGGAGCAAACAGG
Molecule: ribosomal RNA, 253 nt
Filed under: uncultured bacterium
Lineage: Bacteria
Description: partial 16S ribosomal RNA
Rfam family: Bacterial small subunit ribosomal RNA
Source: RNAcentral